UACUGUGCUGCCGGUAUUAGAAUUAGAUUAGAACGAUACAGAGAAGAUGAGCAUGGCCCCUGCAGGAGGAUGACAUGCAAACUCACUUAUU
This 91-nucleotide small nuclear RNA is filed under the name Zalophus californianus (California sea lion). Lineage: Eukaryota; Metazoa; Chordata; Mammalia; Carnivora; Otariidae. The record is from RNAcentral.